CCCUGCUGCAGCGCGGGGCUGGAGGGGCAAUGGCGGGGCCGGGCUGAGGGCACCGCGAGCGGCCGUGCGGCAGCGGCUGGGGCGGCAUAGCCGCCCCUUUUCGUGGUCGCGUUUUCCCCACCGUGUUGGUUGUUUUUAAAGCCCCGGGUUUUUAAAACCUCGGAUUCGGGCGGGGGGAGGUGGCAGGAGAGAGAAAGAGGCUUCCUCGGGCGGGGGCCGGCGGCCGCGCAUCCGCCCCAUCUGCACACAGAAAUGGCUCCCAACUCCUCCUCCUCCUUCUUCUCCACACACCCCGAGCUCUCCUCCUGCGCUCCCGGAGUGGGGGCAGCGCUGGGAGCUCAGGGAGAGGCCCUGAGGCGAGGGGGGCUGAUGGAGGCGCCUCUGAGGGCUCCCGGCCCCGGGCUCGCAGCCAGUGCAGGCCGGCGGGCCCCUGCCUGAAUCCCGCAGACUUGUCCCGAGGCGCUGAGGGUGGGCCAUUCCUGAGGGGCAUGCAGGAGUGUGUGUAGGAGACACGCUAGGUGGUCCUCGGGGUGCUGCCGAAAGCACGCUGCUGCGAUGUGCUGCAGAUCGCAGUACACGAAAAAAACCUGGCAAGAAUGAUUUAAAGAGGGAAGGAGAAUGGAGCGAGAACUGUAAAGGACUGCUGCCUCAGAACUGCUGUUGCCAUAGAGCUGCUAACAAGGGAAAAAAACUGCAGCAUGGAUUUCUUGUGCUGCUGAAGGUAGACCCUUCACCUCCUGGUGUCCCUAAGGAUCUCAGGUGGGACAGCUUCAUCAUUGGUCCUGGUGCCUUCAUCAGUGCUGUAUUUUGCUGGGAUUCACCUCCAGAAAGAGAUCUAAGAAUCCAUCAUUACAAAAUCUGCAUAAGCUUACAGAGGCCAGAGCAGCUAAUAAAGAUCAGUGGGAAAUGACUAAUGCAGAUGUGCUGCCACGUACCUACCACUGUCUUUUCUGGUAUCUGGAGAGGUACUGGGAGAGCACAACAGCCACUGGUGGAGAAAAACAAGAGAAGAGAAAGGAUUCAUCUGCCAGGAAGAGAUGCAGUCAUGACUCUGGCUUGGUGUAAUAAACAGCAUGUGCUGUUCAGAGAUCUGGCUGUGCACAGGCCAUAUUCCCCUGAUCUCUCUCCAGCUUGGAGAUCCUUCUGCUGUGGUUGAUGUGAACAAGUCUCGUUCUUUGUAUCACCUCCAUUGCAAAUGAGGUUAAGAAAUGGGAACAUUUCAGAGUUGGAAGGAGUGAUCUGGGAUUCUUCAGAUACCAGAAGUUCCUGAUUUUUUUUUUUGUAUAGAUAAUGUCAAUGUUUAUACAUGUAAAAGUGAUAACAGGGAGGUUGGAGAAAUGGUGGGAUUUUGAGUUGGGAUUGGGGGGGUUUGCUGUGAGGUGAAGGCUUCUGAAAUGGCAGAGACUUGGAAAAGAUGGAUGCCUUGGCUUGGAAUGUAUUGCCACAGUCUGGAGCAGGAAAUCAUAUGGGGUUUGAGAUGUGGAACAGAAGAGAGAGAAAAUCUGCCUCACAAGGGAUUGAAGGAAUUUAUUUUAGGGACUUGAAGGAUUGAAGUAACUCAUUUCACAUGACUUUUCCUCCUCUAUCCCAUGCUCAUGACUGCAUGCAACAGUCAUUUUUGCUGAUGGAAAUGUGGUCACUGUAUUUUCUGUCCCACUGUCAUCUCCUUGUCUCUUUACUUGUCCAUAGAGUAUCAUAUACCCUAUGGCAUCAUAUAAUUAAAAUAGAUGAUUAUGCAGAUGUAAGUGGAUCCCUAAGGAAACUUAGCACAUGGACAUAACACCACAGGCAACUUUUAACUGAUUAUGCAGCUAUAAAGAAGUUUCUUAUUUUCAAAACUAAAAACACCUUAACUUUUUUCCCUUCUUUUUAUGCUAACAAACCUAACAUUUUCCUCUCCAGAUAAGCUCUGAAAUGGAAGAGAGAGUGCAGAAUACCUUAUGGACGUGAGGGCUGUAGGUUUAUGGGUUUAGACAUCUCUGAAAAGCACAAAAAUAUUUCCUCCCGUUUGCAACACCCAUCCCCCUGCAGACAGAGUGCAGCCCCUGUAUGCAUUUGGUUUCCAGAUCUGUGAUUCCUACCCUCCUUUUUAUAAGCUGUGAAUUUUUUUCCCUUUCAAAGCACAGAUUUUAAGCCCCCUCCCAUGCCCCCAGGGAAGCUUUUGUCCUGUGAGUGCCCUAGGGUUUUAAAGAAUGUGGAAAGUCCUUGGUUUAUUCUGUUUCUGUACUGCUACCUCCAGUUCCUGAUUCCUGUUCCUCUGUGGCCUCUGCUAAUGCAGAGUCUGUCCCGAAUGGGGGUUUCCUCUGCAGUUCCACUGAAAUGUGGCUGUGUGCACAGGGACUACAGCCUUCUAGGCAGCAUUCUUUUCUUGUUAUUUAGUAGAGAAGAGGUAUCACUUUUUCCCCCUCUCCAUCAUCAGCCUGAUUUUAUUACAAUCCCAUAAUGCCAACACUGUUCAUGUUUCCUCAUCCCAAGACUUGGUGGAUCCAUUCAAACACCGUGUUAAUCCCCCUCUAUUCUCAGUAGCACCUUUAUUAUGGUAUUGCCUUUCCAAGCUACAGUUGAUUUUGCAAGCCUUCACACCAGCUAAUCCAACCUCUUUUGGCUUCUUUCCCAAAGGUGUAGAGUUCUAAGGGGAACAUUCAGCAAGGAUAUUUUUACUCAGUAUCAGUGGAUCCAGAAUUUCUUAUUUUCUUACCUACAGGGCUGCUCACUGCUCUCCAUCACUAGCAGCAAUGAGGGAUAGAUACUGCUUACAGAAUAUAAUCAUUAUAAAAGAAAAUAAGACAAAAACAAGGAAUCUAAAAGCUGUCUUCAUUUUCUAUCUGUAGGUACAAGUCAGGUGGAGCUGCCCUAACAUUUGUGCUGCUAAUUAAGGAAUAGCCUGUUACAUAAUAAACAGUACACACUCUUCUCUAGGAGCAAUCUUGCAGUGAAGCAGGAGAAAUCACCUGGGUGGAGGGACCAAGGAUUAGCUGGUGCCUGAAGCAGAGACUGUAUAGAGAGCACAUCCAACAGUAUUCCUCAGAGCAGCUCUAACAACUCUGGCAGAUCAUAGCAGAACUCUUCUACUUUAUUAUGUGCUGAAAAGUAACUGGUUUUUACACAUUAGACACUAAUCAAGGUCACCCUUUCAUUGCUGAAUGCUCUGCAUUCACUGCACUGUUGGCAGGAGGGCUUGCUCUGCUCCCGUGUGUUCAGAAAAAAAACCCAAAAUAUAAAAAAGGAGAAGAAAUCCUUUGGCCAACCAUCUGUUGGAACAGAGGCCAUGGACACAAUGCAGAUAUGAAUGCCUGGAUGCAUUUUGCAGGUGUGCCCUGUGACCCAUUUUUCCAUGGAGAAAUUCACUGGGAAAAUAGAUUGCACUAGACUGUUCCUGCAACUGCAGUUAAUCGUGCCUUUUCUAUAUUACUGCUACAGGAUUAACACAAACAUUGCUUCUAUUUUCAGGCUUAUCAAAGGCAGCAGCACAUCUCUCUAAUCUCCUAUUUCCCUGCUCUCUUUAAAGUGUUUAAAUGAAUGGAGCACUGAUGAGCAGGGAUGCGGUGCCAGCAGGGAUGGUGUCAUUUAAUGCCUCGCUAUUUAUGCUAUUUAAUGCCUGUGUGGCUUUAUGUGCCCUGGGUGACCUGCAAACCAUCUGGCAGCCUCCACCCUUUCACAGGACAGACGGAGGUGGAAACAGCACCUUCACUUGUCUCUGGUUCAGAGAGUGACCAGCAGCAGUAAAGCAGUACAGUUCUGAUGAGCCUGCUCCUACACAGCCUGCACCUGCUGUCACUGAAGGAUGAAGCUCAGAGGCCAUGGACUGGUGACCCUUGAGACCAGGCAGGCUGGAUCUCAGGGAUCUGUGGGCACUUACCUACAUUCCUGUUGGACUGGUUGGCACACACAACCUGGAUUUUUCUUACAGCUGUAAAAAGCAUAAUGAUACCUGAUCUGCCCCAGCACCUGUUUGUGCACUGUUAACUUGUCAAAAGGUUUCAGACAAGCUGGAAUUGGCAGAAUUGUGUGUGUCAUAUCAGCUCCUUGUCCUAAGAGUCCUACAGCUGGAUUUGCAGUAUCAUUGAAUCACAGCCUGAAUUUGUAGCCGUAUUACUUACACAAAUCACAAAUACUUGGGUUGUGUCCUCCAAUCUGCUAGGAAGUGGGCUGAGAUCCACCCUGCAGCUUUCACACCACUGUCAGCUGGCAUUAACUUCCAGUCAUUUUUUCCUUUGAGGCCAGAUUGAAAUUAGUGACCUAGAAGUAAAAUACUCUGUAUUUUGUUAGCAAGUAGUCCCUGGAGUUGUGCAGUCUAAAUUAGGAUGUUUUCUCAGUGAGCUCUUUUGUAUAUCUUCUAUGGCAAUUGUGCUGUAAUUACCACAAUCCUUUUUCUGGUAGCAGAAUUUAUUAAUUGCUUUUCACUUUCUCCAAUACACUUUCUGCUCAGAUCACAGUGAAAUAAAGAUUUUCUUUAGUGUGUGGAACAGUUAUGAUAGCCUAGUGUAAUGCAUUAGUUUUCUAUGGUGACAUAAUCAGAGAUUAUAUUAUGGAUUCACUGAUAUUCCUGCAAGGAGAGCAAACUGGAAAUGGUGUUGGACACUUACUUCACUGCCUGUUAGCAGUACAGGUGUGGGAUCUGCCCCUGAAAAUGCUCCUGUCUGGGAGAAUAUUUGCAGAAGUAAGAACUAGUCAUGUGUAGAAAAAUUUUCACAAUCAGCCUUCAUAUUUAUGGGAUGGAUCACUUGUGGACAGUGCUGAGAGUCUGCUGGGAAGUGCUGGCUGCCCUUGGCAGUGCCACUGCUGGAGGUUCAUUCUAUUCAGCAUUUUAAGGAAGUGCCCAGCUCUUGUAACUUUACUGCAGCCUGUUCAUAAGAAUAAGUUAUGUCUCCACUUUUUCUGGAGUUCAGAUUCUCUGUUCAGAUUUAAGGUCAGAUCCAGUUGGUCACUCUGUGGCAGUAUAUAAUGAAUUGCCAGCAUCCCAGAACAUACAAAAUUGGAGAUUAGAAGCAGCUCCACCUUAUUAUCAUGAUAGUCAAUUGCAAGUGGUAGUGCAGUGGAUAAGGGCAAGGUAAUGUGACAUAUGAGUGGAAUAGCUCUCAAUCUGUGUAUUAUGAAAUUGUCAUUCUGUGCCACUGUUCAGCAUAAAUGGACUAAUCUUCAGUUUGAAAAUGAGGAGAGCUUGACUGUUAAAGAAUAGGUCAUUUGGCUUCUGGCAGCAGCAGAAGAUGCUGUAAUAUAAGCUGUAAGAACUUGUGCAUUCUUGGUAAGGAGAUAAAAAUGAUUAAAUUGCACUGCUUGCUUCUCUA
Molecule: non-coding RNA, 5288 nt
Organism: Taeniopygia guttata (zebra finch)
Lineage: Eukaryota; Metazoa; Chordata; Aves; Passeriformes; Estrildidae
Source: RefSeq, a predicted model, not a curated record